GAUGAACGCUGGCGGCGUGCCUAAUACAUGCAAGUCGAGCGAACGGACGAGAAGCUUGCUUCUCUGAUGUUAGCGGCGGACGGGUGAGUAACACGUGGAUAACCUACCUAUAAGACUGGGAUAACUUCGGGAAACCGUAGCUAAUACCGGAUAAUAUUUUGAACCGCAUGGUUCAAAAGUGAAGGACGGUCUUGCUGUCACUUAUAGAUGGAUCCGCGCUGCAUUAGCUAGUUGGUAAGGUAACGGCUUACCAAGGCAACGAUGCAUAGCCGACCUGAGAGGGUGAUCGGCCACACUGGAACUGAGACACGGUCCAGACUCCUACGGGAGGCAGCAGUAGGGAAUCUUCCGCAAUGGGCGAAAGCCUGACGGAGCAACGCCGCGUGAGUGAUGAAGGUCUUCGGAUCGUAAAACUCUGUUAUUAGGGAAGAACAUAUGUGUAAGUAACUGUGCACAUCUUGACGGUACCUAAUCAGAAAGCCACGGCUAACUACGUG
This 497-nucleotide ribosomal RNA is filed under the name uncultured bacterium. Its description in RNAcentral is "partial 16S ribosomal RNA". It matches the Rfam family "Bacterial small subunit ribosomal RNA", at positions 28 to 507 of the family's 1533-position model. The record is from RNAcentral.